RNAcentral lists this ribosomal RNA (206 nucleotides) under uncultured bacterium. Its description in RNAcentral is "partial 16S ribosomal RNA". It matches the Rfam family "Bacterial small subunit ribosomal RNA", at positions 1295 to 1500 of the family's 1533-position model. The record is from RNAcentral.
GGAUUGUAGGCUGCAGCUCGCCUACAUGAAGUCGGAAUUGCUAGUAAUCGCGGAUCAGCAUGCCGCGGUGAAUACGUUCCCGGGCCUUGUACACACCGCCCGUCACACCAUGGGAGUCGGUAACACCCGAAGCCUGUAGUCUAACCGCAAGGAGGACGCAGUCGAAGGUGGGAUUGAUGACUGGGGUGAAGUCGUAACAAGGUAGC